This 907-nucleotide long non-coding RNA is filed under the name Triticum aestivum (bread wheat). Its description in RNAcentral is "long non-coding RNA (TAES_LNC010166)". The record is from RNAcentral. Lineage: Eukaryota; Viridiplantae; Streptophyta; Magnoliopsida; Poales; Poaceae.
UGAAAGAAAAAAGCACAGAAGUGUAUGAAGGUGGCAAUGAAGAGGAACAAGAUGAUACGGGUCUGGAGUAUUGCAGCGAAGACGAAGGAGGUGCCAUGGAUGUUGACAGCGAUGAUGAGUAGAUGUUUUAAUGUAGAGGUACUAUCUUCAUUCUUCAUUUAGUUGUUGUUUCCUAUUGUCUACAUGGAGUUUAUGUUCAGUAUAGGGUUAACACAAGUUUGCCAUGAUUUAGUUUAUGUUCAGUACAGUUUUAAAGAGAGUGAGGUGUUUUAUGCACUACAUGGAGUUUUUGUUCAGUACAUUACCAACUGCUAUUUCCUAAAAAAAAUCUCACUGAAUCCUGUAGUUAAUGUGUUGGCCGGUGUGUUAGAGGAUUAAAAUGGUAGUAUUUGAAGUUUUAUCUUGUUUGCCUUAACAGAGUUUUAGUCUGUCAGUGUGUUGUGAUCCAUAGUGUUUGUUCAGUACAGUACAUGAGAGUGUGAUGUUUUUUCUUCUCACUGAUGCAUAGUUUUGUUCAGUACAGUUCAUGGAAACUUCUAAUUUUGAAAUAUUCGACAGGCGUUGCUAAUGAGGCUGAGAAGGAGAUGCUCAAAAAUGGUUGUGUUGCAAGCUUAAGUUGGUCUGGAGUUUUAUUUUGUUUGCCUUGAUACGGCAAUGACCGCUGAUCCUUGUUGUGAUCCAUAACAGAGUUGUAUCUGAAGUUUUAUUUUGUUUUCCUUCAUAGGCCAACCAUUUUGUCUGUCAGUGUGUUAAGGAAGUCGCUGUAGUUGUAAUCCUUGUUGUACGCUUGACAAUAUAUCAUCUAUGCACCGGAUGUUGUGAGGAUGGCAUAUGUGUGCUGUCAUUGGCUAUUCAGUUUCACAAAUAAUUCCUGAAAUUCAUAAGGCUCAUGUAUGUUCAGAAUAUG